CUCACACCUGUAAUCCCAGCACCUUGGGAGGCCAAGGCAGGUGGAUCACCUAAGGUCAGGAGUUCGAGACCAGCCUGGCCAACAUGGUGAAACCCCGUCUGUACUAAAAAUACAAAAAUUACCCGGGCGAGGUGUCACACGCCUCUAAUCCCAGCUACUCAGGAGACUAAGGCAGGAGAAUCGCUUGAACCCAGGAAGCGAAGGUUGCAGUGA
RNAcentral lists this long non-coding RNA (213 nucleotides) under Homo sapiens (human). RNAcentral describes it as "HSALNT0341514". The record is from RNAcentral. Lineage: Eukaryota; Metazoa; Chordata; Mammalia; Primates; Hominidae.